ACAAUCACGUGUCACUUACAACUGACAAUUUCAUUUCAUUCAAUCCUCACUCAUCUAAACUCUAAUCGAUCUAUUUAUAGUCUUGCCUCCUCUCAUACUUCUACACCUCACCUUCUUUCUAAUUAGGGUUUCAAAAUCUAACCUCUUUUUCUUGCCGCCGCACCCUUUUCCAUUUGUAGCAAACUACUUUCACCUUCAUUCUUCAGAUCCAAUGUAGCCAAUCGUUGACCUAACCUCUGUUUUGCAGCUCAAUUACGAGUGUGCAGUGGUUGAAGAUCUGAAGAUGACGUGUGUGUUGUCUAUGAUUUGUUUGACCGAAUUCUUCAUAUUUGUUACGGCUGUGAUUUCUUUGAUUAAAUAUCAUACAAAGUCUAUGUCUUAACGGUGACAUCGAUUAAUAUAAUUCUUAAUUGAGUUAAAUCGGUGACAUCUGUAUAUAGGCCGAACUUACAAAGUCUAUGUCUUAACGGUGACAUCGAUUAAUAUAAUUCUUAAUUGAGUUAAAUCGGUGACAUCUGUAUAUAGACCGAACUUACAAAGUCUAUGUCUUAACAAUAGAGAAAAAGUGAUAUCUGAAUCACGUUCAACAAAAGUUAAUAGAAUGCAAGAACAAAAAAAGCAAAAAAAGUUAUGUAUCCAAUAUAAUUUGUAAUUUUUUUUUUUGAAUAAUGUUAUUUUUCAUAUUGCAGUUUUAAUGAGUUUCUGAAUUAGCAACUCGUAUCAA
Cicer arietinum (chickpea) is the source of this 724-nucleotide long non-coding RNA. RefSeq lists it as uncharacterized. Lineage: Eukaryota; Viridiplantae; Streptophyta; Magnoliopsida; Fabales; Fabaceae. The record is from RefSeq and is a predicted model, not a curated record.